AAACGGACAAGAACAGAGAUAAUGAAAGCAGGAGAAUAACUACUCUGCAGACUCGAGGAUACAGACAAGAGAUUGUAUAUCAGUGUUUCAGUUAUUCUUGUGUCACCUUGUCACAUUUGGUUGUUAGGGUCAGCCAGUACAGCUGAAGGAGGUUUUCUAAGGCUGCAUGGAGGGUCAGCUAUUAGUGCUUUUGUUUAAUGCUUUUUAGUUUUUAUUAUUUAUUUACUGCCAUCAGUUUACCUUGUUUUAGAGGCAUUCACAGCAAUACUAACUCUAUACAGACUAGUUUUAUAGUCUGUUACCCAAACAGAUAAUCUGUGGAUAUGGGCCUACAGGGAACAGGGAAAUACAGUCUGUACAAACAGUCUGUCGAGUGAUCUGCUUGCCUCUUUUGUGAGGGAAAGACCCGACAGCAGAGUCACUGAGAAUGAGGGAACAACUCCAUGUGCUGAUUUAGGGUUUAAACAGCAACUUUAUUACAACUAGUGACAGGUGUUGUGUUAGCGUGAAUGACUAGAAAGGAAAAGCAUGGUGUAAGGAACAGUACAAAGAGCCCACAGACACCGCCAGUUGUCGUGGGGGGGUCGUAGCUGUCAUGGUAGCAGGGGGAGAGCUUACAGUUUUGUUGCACCUGAUCUGGGAAUAGGAGAAAAAACAAAAUACAUAAGUAAAGUAAAGUUUUUUCCCUGAGCUGUCACUUUUUUGCUUGAGAUAUAUGCAGAUAUGUUUUUUUUUUUUAAUUUAUUGAUUGGCAUUCAAAUAUCUCAGUGAAUACAGAAUAAAGAUCUACCACAAAGCAAGAAAGCACGAGACAUGACUAAUCAAAAGGUAUUGGCUGAAGCAUUUGCUUAUUACGCCAACCCUUUUAACAAAAGAUCUUUUAGCAUGCAGCUCAUGUACACAGGGCUUGAAGCAAAGAGUAAAACAAAACAAAACAAACAAACAAACAAACAAACAAACAAAAAACAAAACAAACUUUCCACCUUAGAUAAGUAACCACAUUAAAUUAAAUUUCAUGAACAUAAUCAAAGCAAAACAACCAAGAGUUUCAGUAUUAUUAUUUUGCUCCUUUCAUUCUCGAUUUAUAUAUAUUUUUCUAAUACUCUAUUUUAAACAUAUUUUUAAACAAAGAAAAUGAACUCCACCUUUUUAAAUCACUGUCAGAACUAUUCCACAAGUUAACUCCUCUAACAGAAGCACAUCUCUGCUUUAUGUUUGUCCUCAUCUUGUUUUUUUUUUUUUUUUUAAAGAAAUCUGUUCCCCUUAAGUCAUAUUGACUCUCUCUGACUUCAAACAGCUUCUGAGUACUGUGGCAAAGCAAGUUAUUUUGUGCUUUAUACAUUAUCUGUGCCAUUUUAUAUUCAACUAAAUCAUAAAAUUUCAGGGUAUUCAGAUUAAUAAACAAAAUGUUAGUUGGUUCUAUAUAGUUUGAGUGUUUUAUAAUUCUUAUAGCUCUUUUUUGUAACUUGAAAUUAGGAAGCGUAUUUGUUUUAUAUGCAUUACCCCAUGUCUCUAGACAAUAAGUCAUAUAUGGAAGCAUAUAUGGUAUGUCAUCACAUCGGUUCAAAACCAGAGAGUUUCUGUUAGCCCCCCUCAGAUGGUAAAAUGGGAAUUUAAUCUUCAGUGUUUA
Molecule: long non-coding RNA, 1630 nt
Organism: Astatotilapia calliptera (eastern happy)
Lineage: Eukaryota; Metazoa; Chordata; Actinopteri; Cichliformes; Cichlidae
Source: Ensembl